This 240-nucleotide unclassified non-coding RNA is filed under the name soil metagenome. RNAcentral describes it as "partial contains 5.8S ribosomal RNA, internal transcribed spacer 2, and large subunit ribosomal RNA". The record is from RNAcentral.
AACCAUAGAAACCUGCGGAGUACCUGCGGAGGGAUCAUUAUAGUAUAUGGAAUCUCCAUUCUAUAAACCCACUCUGCGUAUCUUGUAACUGUCGCUUCCAUGGGACUUGGUUCCGCCACACCGGCUUCACGGCUGGUGAGCGCCCAUGGAAGGAGAAACAAAACUCUUCUUUGAAAUGUAGUCAGUCUGAACAAGUUUUUAUAAACGUUAAAACUUUUAACAAUGGAUCUCAGAUCGGAA